GUGGCUGUGGCACAGGGGUUGAGGAUCUGCUUGGUGUACAGAACGUCCCAGGUUCAAUCCUUGGUAGCUCCA
RNAcentral lists this transfer RNA (72 nucleotides) under Sphaerodactylus townsendi. Its description in RNAcentral is "tRNA-Thr". Lineage: Eukaryota; Metazoa; Chordata; Lepidosauria; Squamata; Sphaerodactylidae. The record is from RNAcentral.